RNAcentral lists this ribosomal RNA (1511 nucleotides) under Klebsiella pneumoniae IS46. RNAcentral's name for it is "SSU rRNA". It matches the Rfam family "Bacterial small subunit ribosomal RNA". The record is from RNAcentral. Lineage: Bacteria; Pseudomonadati; Pseudomonadota; Gammaproteobacteria; Enterobacterales; Enterobacteriaceae.
UUAAAUUGAAGAGUUUGAUCAUGGCUCAGAUUGAACGCUGGCGGCAGGCCUAACACAUGCAAGUCGAGCGGUAGCACAGAGAGCUUGCUCUCGGGUGACGAGCGGCGGACGGGUGAGUAAUGUCUGGGAAACUGCCUGAUGGAGGGGGAUAACUACUGGAAACGGUAGCUAAUACCGCAUAAUGUCGCAAGACCAAAGUGGGGGACCUUCGGGCCUCAUGCCAUCAGAUGUGCCCAGAUGGGAUUAGCUAGUAGGUGGGGUAACGGCUCACCUAGGCGACGAUCCCUAGCUGGUCUGAGAGGAUGACCAGCCACACUGGAACUGAGACACGGUCCAGACUCCUACGGGAGGCAGCAGUGGGGAAUAUUGCACAAUGGGCGCAAGCCUGAUGCAGCCAUGCCGCGUGUGUGAAGAAGGCCUUCGGGUUGUAAAGCACUUUCAGCGGGGAGGAAGGCGUUAAGGUUAAUAACCUUGGCGAUUGACGUUACCCGCAGAAGAAGCACCGGCUAACUCCGUGCCAGCAGCCGCGGUAAUACGGAGGGUGCAAGCGUUAAUCGGAAUUACUGGGCGUAAAGCGCACGCAGGCGGUCUGUCAAGUCGGAUGUGAAAUCCCCGGGCUCAACCUGGGAACUGCAUUCGAAACUGGCAGGCUAGAGUCUUGUAGAGGGGGGUAGAAUUCCAGGUGUAGCGGUGAAAUGCGUAGAGAUCUGGAGGAAUACCGGUGGCGAAGGCGGCCCCCUGGACAAAGACUGACGCUCAGGUGCGAAAGCGUGGGGAGCAAACAGGAUUAGAUACCCUGGUAGUCCACGCCGUAAACGAUGUCGAUUUGGAGGUUGUGCCCUUGAGGCGUGGCUUCCGGAGCUAACGCGUUAAAUCGACCGCCUGGGGAGUACGGCCGCAAGGUUAAAACUCAAAUGAAUUGACGGGGGCCCGCACAAGCGGUGGAGCAUGUGGUUUAAUUCGAUGCAACGCGAAGAACCUUACCUGGUCUUGACAUCCACAGAACUUUCCAGAGAUGGAUUGGUGCCUUCGGGAACUGUGAGACAGGUGCUGCAUGGCUGUCGUCAGCUCGUGUUGUGAAAUGUUGGGUUAAGUCCCGCAACGAGCGCAACCCUUAUCCUUUGUUGCCAGCGGUUCGGCCGGGAACUCAAAGGAGACUGCCAGUGAUAAACUGGAGGAAGGUGGGGAUGACGUCAAGUCAUCAUGGCCCUUACGACCAGGGCUACACACGUGCUACAAUGGCAUAUACAAAGAGAAGCGACCUCGCGAGAGCAAGCGGACCUCAUAAAGUAUGUCGUAGUCCGGAUUGGAGUCUGCAACUCGACUCCAUGAAGUCGGAAUCGCUAGUAAUCGUAGAUCAGAAUGCUACGGUGAAUACGUUCCCGGGCCUUGUACACACCGCCCGUCACACCAUGGGAGUGGGUUGCAAAAGAAGUAGGUAGCUUAACCUUCGGGAGGGCGCUUACCACUUUGUGAUUCAUGACUGGGGUGAAGUCGUAACAAGGUAACCG